CUAAAGGGAAGCUAGCCAGAACGACAGAAGGCACCUGGGCUAAUGACAAGGGCCUCCUGGAUUGAUGUUCCAAUAGGAAAGCGAUUUUGCACCAUGACUGACCAAAGUAGAAGACUCUCCAGAUCUAGCCACUGAGAGCCAGCAGUGUAUGUGAGGAACAGUGGCUGAGUGUGGGAAUAUGAGCCAGAGUUGUGGUCUUGGCACCAAACAUAGCUCACUGCUAUUAACUGGGCAGGGACCUGGACCAGCAAGAAUAUCCCAGAUGCAGUGGACAAUUACCCAUCCAACUGGCAUAACCUGUGUUCAAUUACAAAGGCAACUGGCAGCAAGAAAUAACAGCAAGUGAACUGAUCAGAAUCAGAUCCCUUCUGCAUGUGCACCACAGACUGGGGAAGUGGCCUAUUAUAUCAGCUUUCAGGAGCCUUCUGCUCAGAUAGGAAGACAAGACUCACAUAGAGAACAACACGAGAAAGUGUACAAAAUUGCUUUUAUGUGCCAAAGGAUUUCAGGGACUGGAGAGAUUGUUAUGGAUGGUCACAGGAGGCUCAUGGAGGCUGCGACUGAGCCCAAAAGAACGAAGACUGCUUAGGAAGGCAGAGGAGAGUGUUAGGAGAAAGCCACAUUCCAUGCAAAGGUUUCCUAGGUGCAAAUGCAUAAAGCAUGCUGG
RNAcentral lists this long non-coding RNA (667 nucleotides) under Homo sapiens (human). RNAcentral's name for it is "HSALNT0135146". Lineage: Eukaryota; Metazoa; Chordata; Mammalia; Primates; Hominidae. The record is from RNAcentral.